GAUGAACGCUGGCGGCGUGCCUAAUACAUGCAAGUCGAGCGAACGGACGGGAAGCUUGCUUCUCUGAUGUUAGCGGCGGACGGGUGAGUAACACGUGGAUAACCUACCUAUAAGACUGGGAUAACUUCGGGAAACCGGAGCUAAUACCGGAUAAUAUUUUGAACCGCAUGGUUCAAAAGUGAAAGACGGUCUUGCUGUCACUUAUAGAUGGAUCCGCGCUGCAUUAGCUAGUUGGUAAGGUAACGGCUUACCAAGGCAACGAUGCAUAGCCGACCUGAGAGGGUGAUCGGCCACACUGGAACUGAGACACGGUCCAGACUCCUACGGGAGGCAGCAGUAGGGAAUCUUCCGCAAUGGGCGAAAGCCUGACGGAGCAACGCCGCGUGAGUGAUGAAGGUCUUCGGAUCGUAAAACUCUGUUAUUAGGGAAGAACAUAUGUGUAAGUAACUGUGCACAUCUUGACGGUACCUAAUCAGAAAGCCACGGCUAACUAAGUG
RNAcentral lists this ribosomal RNA (497 nucleotides) under uncultured bacterium. Its description in RNAcentral is "partial 16S ribosomal RNA". It matches the Rfam family "Bacterial small subunit ribosomal RNA", at positions 28 to 507 of the family's 1533-position model. The record is from RNAcentral.